This 52-nucleotide ribosomal RNA is filed under the name Cladosporium cladosporioides. RNAcentral's name for it is "partial 18S ribosomal RNA". The record is from RNAcentral. Lineage: Eukaryota; Fungi; Ascomycota; Dothideomycetes; Cladosporiales; Cladosporiaceae.
CGGAAAGUUGGUCAAACCCGGUCAUUUAGAGAAAAGUAAAAGUCGAACAAGG